RNAcentral lists this unclassified non-coding RNA (294 nucleotides) under Hevea brasiliensis (rubber tree). Lineage: Eukaryota; Viridiplantae; Streptophyta; Magnoliopsida; Malpighiales; Euphorbiaceae. The record is from RNAcentral.
UGCUUAAAAGUUGCAAAAUUCAUUAAAUAAAUAAACAUUAAAGGAGCUUGACUAAAAUUCAGAGCUAGUAAAUGAGCGUAAAUACAUCAAAUAAAGAUAUUUACAUGUUUUGUAUAUGAUAGAGUAAAGGAUUUAAAUAAAACAGAUACAAGUAGAGAAGAGGAAAUUGUGUUGAAUUUUCACAACAAAGGUAACACAAUAGAUCAAUCUUUCUGAACACAAAGUAAUAAUGGAGAAUAUCCAAUUCACUGAUUCAAUACAAAUAAAAGAACUAAAAAACAGAAUUACAGCAAG